GACGGUCCUGAUUUCAUGGGCGAGUUGGGUGUGUAAGUUUUCUCCUGCUUGUGCAACCCACUUGAUCAACGUGGGGAAGAAGCUUUUCAUGCCUCCAUAGGCAUUGAAACCAGCAAGAAACACAAGGUUAUGACAAGCUUCAUCUCUUUUGAUCCCGAAACUCUCAGCUUUGUCAAGAAUCCGAGCUGAGUGCUCGUAGAAAGCUUCGUAAAGCUUCUUGUAGUUAGAUUUUACUAGGAAGAAUGGAAAU
This 250-nucleotide unclassified non-coding RNA is filed under the name Hevea brasiliensis (rubber tree). Lineage: Eukaryota; Viridiplantae; Streptophyta; Magnoliopsida; Malpighiales; Euphorbiaceae. The record is from RNAcentral.